UUCGCAAUGCCCGAAAGGGUGACGAAGCGACGCCGCGUGGGUGAGGAAGGCCUUCGGGUUGUAAAACCCUGUCAGGAGUUAAGAAAUGUAAGUGCGCUAAUAUCGCAUUUAUUUGACGAAGGCUCCAAAGGAAGCCACGGCUAACUCUGUGCCAGUAGCCGCGGUAAUACAGAGGUGGCAAGCGUUGUUCGGAAUUAUUGGGCGUAAAGAGCACGUAGGUGGGUUUGUAAGUCAGAUGUGAAAGCCUUCUGUUCAACGGAAGAAUUGCAUCUGAAACUGCUAAUCUUGAGUAUAGGAGGGGAGAAUGGAACUUCUGGUGGAGCGGUGAAAUGCGUAGAUAUCAGAAGGAACGCCGGCGGCGAAAGCGAUUCUCUGGCCUAUUACUGACACUGAGUGUGCGAAAGCUAGGGGAGCAAACGGGAUUAGAUACCCCGGUAGUCCUAGCCGUAAACGAUGGGCACUAAGUAGAGGGGUUUUA
RNAcentral lists this ribosomal RNA (478 nucleotides) under uncultured bacterium. RNAcentral's name for it is "bacterial SSU rRNA". It matches the Rfam family "Bacterial small subunit ribosomal RNA", at positions 365 to 833 of the family's 1533-position model. The record is from RNAcentral.